UACGGAGGGUGCAAGCGUUGCUCGGAAUUAUUGGGCGUAAAGGGCACGUAGGUGGUCUCAUUUGUCUAGGGUGAAAGCCUUGAGCUUAACUCAAGAAGUGCCCCGGAAACGGUGAGACUCGAGUCCUAGAGAGGGUCGUGGAAUUCCCGGUGUAGCGGUGAAAUGCGUAGAGAUCGGGAGGAACACCAGAGGCGAAGGCGGCGACCUGGAUAGGAACUGACACUGAGGAGCGAAAGCCAGGGGAGCAAACGGG
Molecule: ribosomal RNA, 253 nt
Filed under: uncultured bacterium
Lineage: Bacteria
Description: partial 16S ribosomal RNA
Rfam family: Bacterial small subunit ribosomal RNA
Source: RNAcentral